CCUACGGGAGGCAGCAGUGAGGAAUAUUGGGCAAUGGGCGCGAGCCUGACCCAGCAACGCAGCGUGAAGGAAGAAGGCUUUCGGGGUGUAAACUUCUUUUCUGAGGGACGAAAAAAGUGACGGUACCUCAGGAAUAAGCCACCGCUAACUACGUGACAGCAGCCGCGGUAAUACGGAGGUGGCAAGCGUUAUCCGGAUUUAUUGGGUGUAAAGGGCGUGUAGGCGGGAAAGCAAGUCAGAUGUGAAAGCUAAGGGCUCAACCCUGAGACUGCAGUUGACACUGUUUUUCUUGAGUGCUGGAGAGGCAAUCGGAAUUCCGGGUGUAGCGGUGAAAUGCGUAGAUAUAAGGAGGAACACCAGUGGCGAAGGCGGAUUGCUGGUCAGUAACUGACGCUGAGGCGCGAAAGCGUGGGGAGCAAACAGGAUUAGAUACCCUUGUAGUC
RNAcentral lists this ribosomal RNA (443 nucleotides) under uncultured bacterium. RNAcentral describes it as "partial 16S ribosomal RNA". It matches the Rfam family "Bacterial small subunit ribosomal RNA", at positions 338 to 795 of the family's 1533-position model. The record is from RNAcentral.